This is a long non-coding RNA of Bos taurus (domestic cattle), 3332 nucleotides long. NCBI's taxonomy places the organism in Eukaryota, Metazoa, Chordata, Mammalia, Artiodactyla, Bovidae. The record is from Ensembl.
AUGCAAAGGGUAGUCCUUUAGACAUUCAGGGAGGUAUCAUGAUCUUCAUGGCCUUCCCUGGUAAAGAAUCCGCCUGCAAUGUGGGAGACCUGGGUUCGAUCCCUGAGUUGGGAAGAUCCUCUGGAGGAGGGCAUGGCAACCCACUCCAGUAUUCUUGCCUGGAGAAUCCCAUGGAUGAGGAGCCUGGUGGGGUACAGUCCAUGGUGUCCCAAAGAGUCGGACACAACUGAGCAAUUAAGAACAGAUCAUGAUCUUCUCAGGGGCUGGGACAGAAGAUUCAGGAACUGCCAAUCCUCUCCAUCCCUUGGAGGCCCUCAGAGAGCUCCCUUACUUCUGCUUCUCUGGGCUCAGUCAUCCUGCAUGUGGCCCAGCAUGAUGGCAGCAUGGUCAACCAGCUGUCUGAGCUUGCAUAUCCAGCUUUGCCAUCCCUGGGUCUCUUUCUUCAACCCCUGUGACUGGUCCAGUUUCUCUGUUUAUCCUGAGCACGUGACUUGACUGUGUCUACCCCUUGUCUAGCUGGCAUGGCUAGGAGGAGCAGGUCUCAUGAGGGCCAAUAAACGCGAGCUUCUUGAAAGGUGUUAAUGCUGGCUUUCCCCUUAGCUGAAGGGCCACUGAAGACCUUCCAGACCUUCAGAGCUCUUGUUAGGAGUGAUGUGGAAUUCCUGCUCCCCAGGGCCACUGGACCCAUGAUCAGAGGACCCUGAGGUAUCUCCUGGUUUCUGGAGGACAGCAAUGUUUGGGACAUCCAAUGAAAGGCAGAUUCAUUUUGUGCAGGUUAACACCUAACUCUUCCCUCCUAGGGAACUCCCCCAAGUAUGACUCUCUUGAGAUAGAGCUGUCCAAGUUUGGGGAACCAUUCAGGAUUACUCACAACCAGUCCCAGCAUCAAAGUAGUGCGUCAGAGACGUUGGAAGUUAUUGACCCACCAGUUUUAUUUUUCCCUGGGCAGAACAAGACUUCAAUGCGUGAGGCCACACUGACCCCCGGGCACCUUCACUGCUUUUGCUCAGGCCAUUCCUCUCCUUGGAAUUCCCUGACAGGUGAUCCUCCCCAGUCACUACCUGGUUGAAUUCUCCCCUUCCCUUAAGGCCCUACCCCAGACCAACCUCCUAGAAGAAGCCCCCCGGCUUGCCUAUCCUUUCCUCCCUGUCUCCCUCUGUACCUGUGUCUCGGCACACACGGCAUCUGGUGCCUGAGUUGCUCACACUUCACGUGUUUCCCUCUCUAGGCUGACUAUCUUUGGAGGACAUCUCUGUGUCCCUGAGAGAGCGUGAGCAGAGCCCAGCUCCGAGCAGGUGGACUGGUAUGCUGACAUGCGUGCUGUCACCCAGAAGGACCUCUGAACCUCCCAGCAGCCCCUGGAACAGGCUCCCGCGGCCCCCAGGUCCAGCCUUCUCAGCCAGCAGUGGACCCUGCCCUCCCUAAAAACCGUCGCCCCAUGCGGAUUCCUCCGUCUCACAGUGGCCACUUCUGCUAUGGAGGGGCCCCUGCCCUCCACGUGGCAUCAUCGGGAUAGACGAGGACCCCCAAUGGGCUGCUGCGUUCUUGCAGAACAGAUUGUCCUCAGGAGACAGGCUCUAGACUCUGGGGUCCCAGGGUGCCCUCCACUUCACUCUUGUCCCCUAAACACUAAGGGCCAGUGGCUAGCUUCAGCUCCCAGGCAUGCUGUAUCUUCUGACUCUGAGGAAGCCAGUCUACUUUUUGUUGCUCUAGCGAGGCCAGGCCAGUGGUCAGGAUGGAUGGGAGGCCGAGCAGAGAGAGGGGGAGGCCUGCCAGGAAGCGAGAGCGGAGGCCGGGCCUGCUCUCCCACAGGAAACCACUGACUGGAAACUCUGAAGUGCUGGAGGCAGCUCCCAGCUGCACGACCCAGAGUGCUGUCAUGCGGCGCCCGCAGCCCCUCCGAACAGCUCGUGAGACAUGCGGAGGGCGGGAGGGGGCACAGAGCCCACGGUACCCAUGGAGGAGGCACAGCGGCCGGUGGACCACAGCCAGCAUCCGGAACGCUUGAUUUGACGUUGGUUUCCCCUAGACGGUCCCUUGAGCCUGAACCGCACAUAUGGCGACGCUCUCUGAUGGGAGGGAGCGCUAACCCGGCAGGUGGUGCUGGGGGUCUCCGUCAGCGCAGGAGCUGAGAGGGGACCCGCCUGCGGCGUCACAGGGGCCGCGUCACGUGACGCAGCCGGUAUCUUUACUUUGUGGGAGGCUCGUCACAUACAUGGGGGUUACAGUCACACCCAGUCAUGAGAAGUCUCCUGAUUUUGCACAAAAUAGGUGUGAAAUCUUUCAUCCAGGAAUAGAAGAGCCUGUUUCUAACAUCGCAGAGGAAUGUCUGACAUCAUCUCCACCAGUGAAUCCAACGCUCACCAGCAACCCCCUGUCCCUACCUCUCUCCCCUCCUUUCUUCACCAGCUGUUUGCUAAGUCUGGAGUCUGUCUGAUGAUUGAAAUACUUUUUUUUUUUUCUUGUCCUUGAAAGCCGGUUCUACCUUCCAUCUUUAAGCCUAUGUUGCUCCCUAAACAUUAGAAUAUGAGCUGGGCUUGGUCUCAGGAGAACUUGUUCAUUGGCUCCCAAACUUGUGUGCACAUUAGAAUCACCUGGGGGAAUUUAAACACUCCGGUGGCCAGGUCACACCCUAUGCCAAUUAAAUCAGAACAUCUGGGGCUGGGAGUGGGAACAGUAGUUUUUAAAGAUCCCCAGGUGAUUCCAACAUGCAGCCAAGUUUGGGAACCAUGACCUGGUGAUGUACUGAAGGGGGUUACAGCCUGCAGCCAACUGAAUCAACUUCAUAGAGCUCAGAUCUUCUUGUCUUGUCGAGACAUGAGGGUACAGGUCCCAGGUCCCAAACUAGGCUGGGAGCAUUCUCUCUGGGGUGUCUCCUAGCCUCGAGGUGAAGAUAUGCUCUGGGGAGGGUUGACAGAGGCCUGGGAGAGAUUCCCUUUCUGCAGCAGAGGGUGCUGGUUCCAGGCGGGAGCUCUGAGGGGUUCAGUCCCCAGGAGAGCCUCAGGUCAGCUGGGAAGUAAGCAGCCAGUUCUGUCCUUCCUUCCUGAAUGCAGCCCCAAGCCCUGGGGUUCCUGACACACUUCUGAUUAAGGACACGGUUCUGAUUCCCACUCUGCGAGCAGCCCUGAUUCCUGCUGCUCAGCCAUCCCGGGUAGCAGGAGGCCAGAGCUCCUGCAAUGACAGUCUCGGAAGGAUCAUCUCUGGCAGGCUCUGAUAUUCUCACUCCUCCACACUCUCUGACAAGCAUCUACAUGGGUGGUUCUCAAACUCUUACCAGAAUCCUCUGAAAAUGAAAAGUGACCCAGAGGGAUGGUAUGGGGAGGGAGGUGGGA